Capsella rubella is the source of this 1006-nucleotide long non-coding RNA. RefSeq lists it as uncharacterized. The record is from RefSeq and is a predicted model, not a curated record. Lineage: Eukaryota; Viridiplantae; Streptophyta; Magnoliopsida; Brassicales; Brassicaceae. The transcript is spliced from 3 exons.
GUUGGCGCCAAUGUAGUAGAGAAGUGAUGAUCUUCACUCUUCAGAGUUCAGAGCUCCAAUUCGAUCUUCGUCAACGAUUGAGAGAACUUCUUGCGGUGUUUAGAUGUGUUGGCACAACCUUUGUGUCCACCUUUAUCCUCUACAAUGGAUUCCAAGAUCUCACAGUGACAUAGAAAACAUAAUCUCAGCAUGCUGCUAAUAAUGAUCAGUUAUUAAUAGUUUACUGAGGGUUACGGAUUCCAACUUUAUUUAGAUGGUUUUGAACAAUAUAUGCCUCGGAUUUGUUUCAGUUUCAGGACGGGGAGUUUGAUAUUAGGAGAAUCUGUUAAAGAUUGGGAUAAGAUAUCAAGCAUUUUUUGUAAAAUAAGAGAACACUAUUUAGAAUUCCUUAGACGUCAACUUCUCUUAGUUGAGGUAUUCUCAAGACGGUCACUGAGUCACAUAGAUGCUUGGAAAUCUAGCCAUGUUCGUUAAAUUGGAUGGAAAUGUUUUGUCUCUUAUCUUGGUUUUAAAUUACUACUAAUUGGAUUUUGAGUAUGUAAUUGCAGAUCAAUGCCAAUAGACACGCCAUAGCAAUAGCAUAUAUGCAUAGGCCAAUAGACAUGUGUUAUCACUUUCGGCAGCUCCUUCUUUGUUAUAGAAAAACGAUAGAUUGUUUAAGUGGAGCUUUCCAUUAUGAUCCCAUACCAUGUUGGUGUUGCCUGAUGUCUUAGAAUACUAUAAGCAUUCCUCAAAGUAGCUUUUAGGUUUGACUAUUAACCACAGACUUAGGUGGGUUAGUUUGACCUUGUUAUGCGUUGGGUCCAUUUCCCUUUUCAAAACACACCGAGUUUACUUUUUUUAUCAUUGCGAGGAAGAAUCCCUUAUUUAUUUUUACCAAGAUAACUUACUGUGGGUCGAAUGGGGAUUUAGCUAUAAUGUACCAAGUUGGUGAAUGAAUCUGACCAAUUAGACCAGACCAAUAUCGCAUUUGUAGUCUUAGUACUGUUUGUAAUGACUGUGGUUU